CUUCAUCGAAGAAGAAGAAAUGUACUAGACAUGAUCUGGAGUGUAGCCACCUGCUAGUGGGCAUAAAACUUAGUACAAAUAUUUCACAAACAUUUGCCAUCAAUCAACAAAACACUCCUACACUUGAAACCAAGACCCAGUGGAAAGACUCCCACCCUGAACCACAUGCCAUACAGCAGCAACGCUGUUUGUUAAUUUUGUAUCUUUAAAAUUAAAACAGCGGUGAUAUCAAACAAAUACUCUAGGAGUAUCUACACAAAAUACUCUACAACUUCAGUAUUCAAUAGAUAAUUAAAUUCUGCCAUCUACAAGUUCUAAAACAUCUGACAAGAUAACUGACUGAAUCUGUUUUAGACAGCAGUAUGGUUAACUUUAAAAUUCGAUAUCUCCAAAACUGCUGAACCAAAAAUUAUGAAAUUCUGCUGGAAGUAAGAACUUUUAUCCCUCUACAAAAGUCUCCAUAGUUGGAAGAGCCAAUUCGGCCAUUUACUAGAUGAAACCCACCAGUGAACAGACCCACUCAUUUUUGUCAGGUAAACAGGAACAGCCACAGUAAAACAAACAUAACUGGAGUUUCACAAAUCAUAUGAAUGCACUCUUUAACAAUUUGGAAAGCUUAUAAAAUUAUCUACAACUUCUUUUACCAACCCACAGUUUAAUUCUGUUGAUAAAAUUGCCUAAAUCUUAAGAGAACAGAUUCUGCACAUAAUUAUGAGACUGAAAAACUGCUAUAGUAAAACUGCAAUAACUUUCUGGUCGGAUGUCCGAUUGAGGUGUUCUUCGCGGCCACGGAAAGAUCUACAAAUUAUCUACGACUCAUACAUAGACUUUUUAUUUUUUUGAGGCCACUAAGACCACGGAAAACUGGCAUGAACAGAAACUGUCGAAUCUGCCAUUCUGCAGAAAACUAAAUUCGAGAUCAAAACCUAACCCCACAUCAAAUCCAACCUCUAAUCCUUUAAUUCACAUGAUCCACAACCUCCAAAAGCCUAUAAUUACAGGGAGGAACAAGGAUCUCAUCCAUACCUAGGGUUUCCCCAAGAAAUCUUCAAGAGGAGAUGGGGAAGAACAUCUCCUUGAUCCUCUCUUCCUCUUCAAUUCAACGUGCCCCUCCUUUUCUCGAUCCUUGCUGCGUAGGGGGAGAUCUUGGGGGAGGAAGCAAUGGAGGAUGGCUGCCAUAGGAGGAGGGGGCGUCCAGCCAAGGGGGAGAAAAAGGGGGUGGCGGCCAAGAGGGGGGGUGAAGGGAAAAAAGGGGUGGCCACCUAGGGUUUUUGUGGGAGAAAGAAACGACGCCUCAGAUGACUUCUAUCUUUGCAUCCAAUGGCCCACAACCCUUUACCUCAUCCACGCACCAGAGAUUAACUUUUGGUCAACAUUUUUUUGGGAUAUUACACUCUACCCCCCUUAAAAAGAAUUCGACCUCGAAUUCGGCCACUCCAAGCAAAACACCCAAGGUACCCCAUAUAGCACCACAAUUCAAAACAUGGGUCCAUUAUUGGUCUUAAUUAACACAAGAACUUCUACCUUGUACUAAUUGUCUAAGGAAACUACACGACCUGACAUCAAGCAUGAAACAACAUGUAAUGAAGCUCAAAGCAUGUCAUAGUUGCAAUCAACACUCCAAUUUCACACCAUCAAAUUUGGAUGCAGCUAUACAUCAACAUCAAUGUCUUAAGACAACACUCUUUUAUGAAGGGGUAAUAUGCACCAAGCACAACCCUUACCAACUUCAACCAUUAAUUUUAAUUAAAUGGUGAAACAUCUACACCCGACGAAUGUAUAAGAAGAUCAAACACCUCACCUUAAAGCACUAUGAAACAAGUAGUUCUAUUGGAACAAAACUCCUAAUCUUCCUAAACCUUAUUCUUGCCAUCAUGAAAAGAUAAUCAUGUAAUCUAACAUUCCUUGCACCCCACCAAAAGGGAGAAAAUCUAUAGAACUAAUGGAGCAAUAAAGCCAAAAGAAGCCAAUAACAUCUUGUGCGGCAUAGUUCAUCGAAGAAAUGCAAAAAACUCUACAUAGAGCACUGAUAGCCCAACAACAACACAAUACUUGCUUAACCCAUGUCACUAUACUUCAUUCAACAUCUCAACUAAGAAAAAUAUCCAACUAGUAAGGACAACCUACACAUAAUAUAAGUCUUCAUCUACUGUAGUUCAGAAACUUACAUUUCAUUCUAUCAUACGAUGCACUCAAAGUACCAGACAUACAAAGUCAAUAAUAAUAACCCCUAAUCCUUCACACAUUUGACAAACAUAUUAAGCUGAUGUAAACACCACAUGAUCUAGGAAUAGGUGACUAGCCACACC
This 2309-nucleotide long non-coding RNA is filed under the name Zea mays. RNAcentral's name for it is "long non-coding RNA (ZMAY_LNC003743)". The record is from RNAcentral. Lineage: Eukaryota; Viridiplantae; Streptophyta; Magnoliopsida; Poales; Poaceae.